RNAcentral lists this ribosomal RNA (448 nucleotides) under uncultured bacterium. RNAcentral's name for it is "bacterial SSU rRNA". It matches the Rfam family "Bacterial small subunit ribosomal RNA", at positions 330 to 793 of the family's 1533-position model. The record is from RNAcentral.
UCCAGACUCCUACGGGAGGCAGCAGUGGGGAAUAUUGCACAAUGGGGGAAACCCUGAUGCAGCGACGCCGCGUGAAGGAAGAAGGCUUUCGGGUUGUAAACUUCUUUUAAGGGGGAAGAGCAGAAGACGGUACCCCUUGAAUAAGCCACGGCUAACUACGUGCCAGCAGCCGCGGUAAUACGUAGGUGGCAAGCGUUGUCCGGAUUUACUGGGUGUAAAGGGCGUGCAGCCGGAGAGACAAGUCAGAUGUGAAAUCCACGGGCUCAACCCGUGAACUGCAUUUGAAACUGUUUCCCUUGAGUGUCGGAGAGGUAAUCGGAAUUCCUUGUGUAGCGGUGAAAUGCGUAGAUAUAAGGAAGAACACCAGUGGCGAAGGCGGAUUACUGGACGAUAACUGACGGUGAGGCGCGAAAGCGUGGGGAGCAAACAGGAUUAGAUACCCUUGUAA